Molecule: ribosomal RNA, 488 nt
Filed under: uncultured bacterium
Lineage: Bacteria
Description: bacterial SSU rRNA
Rfam family: Bacterial small subunit ribosomal RNA
Source: RNAcentral
GAUCAUGGCUCAGGAUAAACGCUGGCGGCAUGCCUAAUACAUGCAAGUCGAACGGAGUUACCUUCGGGUAACUUAGUGGCGAACGGGUGAGUAACACGUAGGUAAUCCAUCCCAAGGACGAGGAUAGCUUCUGGAAACGGAAGGUAAAACUGGAUAGUUAAUUAAAGGGCAUCCUUUAGUUAUUAAAAGAGCAAUCUACCCUGGGAAGAGCCUGCGGCGCAUUAGCUAGUUGGUGAGGUAAUGGCCCACCAAGGCGAUGAUGCGUAGCCGGACUGAGAGGUCGACCGGCCACAUUGGGACUGAGACACGGCCCAGACUCCUACGGGAGGCAGCAGUAGGGAAUUUUCGGCAAUGGGCGGAAGCCUGACCGAGCAAUGCCGCGUGAAUGAUGAAGUAUUUCGGUAUGUAAAGUUCUUUUAACAGGGACGAAAAAACAAAUUGACGGUACCUGUUGAAUAAGCUCCGGCUAACUACGUGCCAGCCGCGGC